This is a long non-coding RNA of Syngnathus typhle (broad-nosed pipefish), 3521 nucleotides long. RefSeq lists it as uncharacterized. The record is from RefSeq and is a predicted model, not a curated record. The transcript is spliced from 7 exons. NCBI's taxonomy places the organism in Eukaryota, Metazoa, Chordata, Actinopteri, Syngnathiformes, Syngnathidae.
GUGACUUCUGCUGGAACUUGUCAGGAAUAGACUUGAAACUGAACUCUGCUUGUACGCGCUAUUUCUGGCAUGCCGCCAUGUUGAGGUUAGCUAAACAAUCCCGCAGGCUCGCACCAUUACUUCAAAGUUUGCUUACGGAAAAGCUGUCAGGUGGCAACGUCAGGGAGUUCGGAAUUUGGUAUUACAGGAGUACAUUAGUUUGAAGAACAAAGAAGGGAGACGGGGAAAUAUAACAUUUCACCAUGCGGCGCAAAGAAUAUUUGGGGGCUGUAAUGUUUGGAAGAUUGUUUGAAUCUCGACAGGAACUUUCUGGGAAUCGUUGUCAACUUUUCCUACCUGCACGGAGUCGGCGGCCAUCUUGCUUGUCGCCUUUGAAUCAAAUCCUACUGGGAGAGAGGAGGGGAGUUGGAACUCCGAAAACAAGUUUUCUUUUUGGACGUUUCCCAGCACGAACGUCGAUUUUCGGUCAUCUCGGAAUGAUGAUUCACGGCACAUCCUGUCCUGAGCACCUGUCCCCCUCCACCAUCCUCUGAGGACGCUCACCAUGGAGACAUGGAAACAGGAUGGAUGGUUGCACAAGAUCGCUGACAUGGAAGUGAAAGGAAGCCGCUGACCUGCAGGGACGGGGACCAAACGCCAGCUCGGCCAUCCCCGCGUGUGAGCAAUCCGGUGGCAUGCGCUGUCCUAUGUCCACAGCACGAUCUCACUCAGCGGACACUUGGACAUCUCGUCCUUGCGUCCUCCUUCAAACCUCUCUGUGUAUCCAUCUCCACCCAGAUGGCCGACUGCUGCAGUUUGGCCGUGGACUCCCUGGUGGGCGGUUUCUUCUCGCUGGUCUUCCUCAAGUGGGAUUUCUUCCCUGUGAUCACAAGAAAGAGCGGGACUCAAGGCUAGCCGUGAAGAUGACGCAUUCAGAGUAGUGCCCGCAGAAAAAGGGAAUCUGGAGCCAAAGCUUCUCAGGGGCGCAGUCGGAGCCGCCGGCCGAUACGCAUUCAUCAAAGGUCUGAAAGGUUGGCACAAAGUUGAAAUGAAUAAUUAUCAUUUUACAUACAUGACGAAGUGCCGGAGUGUCCUUGGACCUUUUUGUCUCCUUGUUUCCUGCGCCUCAAGCCGGGUCGGUAGUCAUCUCCGAAACGCAAAAAGUAAUAAUAGGAAACCAGCCUUUCGAUGGGGUCCCUGAUGACGUUUAUGUAGAUCGGCUUCACCUUCACCCCAAACCUGAAAAAAAAACUCACUUGGGUUAGAAAAAAAAAGUCAUUUAGAAAACGGAAAACGACAGUGAUGUUUUGACCUGCGCGUUUCAUUCAUUAGAAUUCUUUAUUGUUUAUUCAGUCAAUAUUUUACUUUUAUCAUUAUAUUACUAAAUUAGUUGCUAUUAAAAUUAAAUAUUUGACAAUUUUUUUACCUCAUUAAAUAAUUUGUGGUAAUUAGUAAUUACAAUUUUCAUUAAUUAUUUAUUUAGUUAUUAUUAUAUUACUAAAUUAGUUGCUAUUAAAACUAAAUAUUUUACAUUGGUUUUUAAAAUAAUUAGUUGACUGAUUUGUUAAAAAUACUAACACACAAAUAUUCAUAAAAUAAACAAUUUUACCCAUGUGCACGUCUCGAGCACUUAAUCACCACAAGGAGGAGUUAAAUGCACACGUUCUUACUUGGUGAAGUCCAGGAAGGAGACAUGGCCGUGGUAGAAAGCCGGCUUCAUUUCCCGCCAUUCAGUCACAUUCUUUACAAACCGGACCUGAACCGCGCAAAAACGAUUAUUAGUGUGUUAGAAUGCGGACAGCAAAUCAGAAUCAGAUCGAUUGUGACCUGGUCCUGUAUGGACAUGACGGGGUUGUUCUUUGUGGUGUUGAUGUGCAGGACAUGGUAACGGUUCCUCCCACACAGGUCGUAGGCGAUGUUGGUGAAGGAAGUGCUGGCCGUCUUCGGCACGCGGUUAUAAACGACGACCACCUCGUCGUCGCUCUCGGGAACGGACGGCCAUGACGAGUCCCGCUCCCGCAGGCCGUCUCGUGCGUGCCGCUGCUCGAUCUCCCGUACCUCGUGCCGGGCGAUGGCUCGCUCUGGAAGCAUGACAGGGAGUUUCAUAGAGUUGCUCAAAUUUAUACCAAACUGCUCGGCUUGCCGUGUAUUUCUAUGAAAAAAAAAUAGAAGGUAAAAAAAAAAUAGGGAAUGGAUACUGUAAUAAUAUAUUUAUGUUUAUUGGUGAGUUGGCAGAAUAUUUAGGGUGUUUUCCUCAGCUCUCUGCCCACAUGCUCCGUCUUUGUUUAUUCUGGCAAUCGGCGUGCUAAAUGUCUCACAGGCCUGUUAUUCGGCUAAAGCUAUUAUUUCCAGUCAGCUAUUGAGCGAUGUGGUAGUUUUAGUUUUAAAUUUGUUUAUACAAUGCAAAAAAAUCAAAUAAAAUUGUAGGUUACUGGAAACUGCCACAAAUUGCAAUUUUGGUCGGACUAACGCAUUCGACCGGUUUAGGAUAGCUCGACUUGAUUGACUGCACCAAGAUUUAUCUCGACAGAUAAAAAGGACGAAAAGCAGCGAGACGAGAGAGCCGGAGGUGACAGGCCGCGGGGGUGAGAGCUUUGACUGGAAGGUGACAGUUAUUUGAAAGCUAGCGGACGUGAGACGGGACAUCAAUUCACUCCAAAUGAGGAGGGCGGAAGGUUGGUGUGUGUAAACUGGACUUGUGUGAAUAGAUUGCGCACAAAAGCAGCCUCUCGCUUUUGUCGCCUGCGGGCUUUUCUUCAUCUGAAUUCACGGCGGACCGACUGCUGUUGACAACGCUCGGAGAAGCCGGCAGAAAGAUGGAGCCACGCUGCUCCCGGCGCACGCCUGGAAUUGCACCAGGUGGCCACAAAAUGGUGUCUGGCACGCAGCAACAAUCGUAACGGAGAUGUUUAUUCACACGGCCGGUAGCAGUCGCCACGGUCAGAUUUUACGGCCCCCGGGCUCCCGCGCGUCCUUUGCCGUAUUGGUUUUUGCGAGCAAAGCUGGCUGCGAUCUUCAAACGAACGGCGCUGCGACAAUGCCAGGCCGUAAAUAUUACAUGGCAGUCGAGCGGGCAGGCAUCUCGAAAGGCUUUUAAGCGGAAUAACACUCUGAUAGCACGUCGGCUUGACAUUCAUCAUCUUGUGGAGGAAUGUUUGCACGUUUGUCUGGCUGGUUAUGAAAGAAUUGAAGAAAGUCCUUUUUUUUUUUUUUCAUGGUAGGACAUUGUCACAUUCGAUAUUUUGUGGGUCCUUAAAGAUUGGACAAAGUGUUUUAAAAGAGCUUGCAAGGAAGAAAAAAAAAACAAUUAAAAAUAAAUGCUUUCCAUUUUGUAUUCAGAAAUUUGUAUCCAGCCUCAUUGUAUUAUUCCACAAGGGCAAUGCUCAAGUUCAUCAUUUGCAUACUGAAUAAGUCUUUCCUGUUUCCUUCUGACGGCUGGUCUUGAGUGACAAACGCAUAUUAACACUAACCUGGCCUUCUGGAAGGCUCCGGGGUGCUUCGAGGGCUCCUAGACUUUUCAGAAGAACAAUGACAAAACCUUG